This 728-nucleotide long non-coding RNA is filed under the name Olea europaea subsp. europaea. The record is from RNAcentral. Lineage: Eukaryota; Viridiplantae; Streptophyta; Magnoliopsida; Lamiales; Oleaceae.
AUUGAUUGUAAAUCACUUGUGUUUUUGGAUGUACCAACGAGGUGGAAUUCCACAUAUUUGAUGUUGGAAGCCGCUUUAAAAUUUCAAAAAGAUUUUGAAAGGUUAGAGAAGGAUGAUUUGCAGUAUGUAAAUUAUUUUCAAGAGUAUGAUGAUUGUAGAAGGAAUGGGUCUCCUACAACUUUUGAUUGGGAAAAUGCUUCUAUUUUUGUACAGUUCCUUAAAGGCUUUUAUGAUAUAACUUUGAAGUUCGAUACUUCAAUGCAUGUUAGAUAUAAUGUUUAUCUUCAUGAAGUAUGUUCACUUGUAACUGAAUUGGAACAAUUGAGUUCAAGUGGUGAUGUUCUUUUGGGUGAAAUGGCUACUAACAUGAAGAAAAGUUUGACAAGUACUGGGGAAAAAUGGAAAAUGUUAAUCAAUUGUUGUUGAUUGCUACUAUACUUGAUCCACGAUAUAAAUUGUCGUAUGCUGAUUUUUGUUUUGGUGAUAUUUAUGAUGAUAAGGAAGUUGCUUGUAAUAUGAUAAAGAUUUUGAAAGAUAACUUGAUGUCUAUUUAUGAUUGGUCUGUGAGAUUUGAAACAAGAUUUGAAAGCAAUCAAGUAUGUAGUGAUUUGAAUUCUUCAAGUGAGGUUUCUUCUACAAAAGAAAGUCCCACUUCACGUGUGUCUCUUUCUCGUGUUUCUAGCUUUAAGAGAACCCAAGUAGCAAAAGAUUUAGUUGAAUUCAUAAAU